AAAGCCCGCUCGCCGGAAGACCAAGGGUUCCUGUCCAACGUUAAUCGGGGCAGGGUGAGUCGACCCCUAAGGCGAGGCCGAAAGGCGUAGUCGAUGGGAAACAGGUUAAUAUUCCUGUACUUGGUGUUACUGCGAAGGGGGGACGGAGAAGGCUAUGUUGGCCGGGCGACGGUUGUCCCGGUUUAAGCGUGUAGGCUGGUUUUCCAGGCAAAUCCGGAAAAUCAAGGCUGAGGCGUGAUGACGAGGCACUGCGGUGCUGAAGCAACAAAUGCCCUGCUUCCAGGAAAAGCCUCUAAGCAUCAGGUAACAUCAAAUCGUACCCCAAACCGACACAGGUGGUCAGGUAGAGAAUACCAAGGCGCUUGAGAGAACUCGGGUGAAGGAACUAGGCAAAAUGGUGCCGUAACUUCGGGAGAAGGCACGCUGAUAUGUAGGUGAAGUCCCUCGCGGAUGGAGCUGAAAUCAGUCGAAGAUACCAGCUGGCUGCAACUGUUUAUUAAAAACACAGCACUGUGCAAACACGAAAGUGGACGUAUACGGUGUGACGCCUGCCCGGUGCCGGAAGGUUAAUUGAUGGGGUUAGCGCAAGCGAAGCUCUUGAUCGAAGCCCCGGUAAACGGCGGCCGUAACUAUAACGGUCCUAAGGUAGCGAAAUUCCUUGUCGGGUAAGUUCCGACCUGCACGAAUGGCGUAAUGAUGGCCAGGCUGUCUCCACCCGAGACUCAGUGAAAUUGAACUCGCUGUGAAGAUGCAGUGUACCCGCGGCAAGACGGAAAGACCCCGUGAACCUUUACUAUAGCUUGACACUGAACAUUGAGCCUUGAUGUGUAGGAUAGGUGGGAGGCUUUGAAGUGUGGACGCCAGUCUGCAUGGAGCCGACCUUGAAAUACCACCCUUUAAUGUUUGAUGUUCUAACGUUGACCCGUAAUCCGGGUUGCGGACAGUGUCUGGUGGGUAGUUUGACUGGGGCGGUCUCCUCCUAAAGAGUAACGGAGGAGCACGAAGGUUGGCUAAUCCUGGUCGGACAUCAGGAGGUUAGUGCAAUGGCAUAAGCCAGCUUGACUGCGAGCGUGACGGCGCGAGCAGGUGCGAAAGCAGGUCAUAGUGAUCCGGUGGUUCUGAAUGGAAGGGCCAUCGCUCAACGGAUAAAAGGUACUCCGGGGAUAACAGGCUGAUACCGCCCAAGAGUUCAUAUCGACGGCGGUGUUUGGCACCUCGAUGUCGGCUCAUCACAUCCUGGGGCUGAAGUAGGUCCCAAGGGUAUGGCUGUUCGCCAUUUAAAGUGGUACGCGAGCUGGGUUUAGAACGUCGUGAGACAGUUCGGUCCCUAUCUGCCGUGGGCGCUGGAGAACUGAGGGGGGCUGCUCCUAGUACGAGAGGACCGGAGUGGACGCAUCACUGGUGUUCGGGUUGUCAUGCCAAUGGCACUGCCCGGU
Molecule: ribosomal RNA, 1436 nt
Filed under: Escherichia coli O26:H11
Lineage: Bacteria; Pseudomonadati; Pseudomonadota; Gammaproteobacteria; Enterobacterales; Enterobacteriaceae
Description: bacterial LSU rRNA
Rfam family: Bacterial large subunit ribosomal RNA
Source: RNAcentral